RNAcentral lists this ribosomal RNA (253 nucleotides) under uncultured bacterium. RNAcentral's name for it is "partial 16S ribosomal RNA". It matches the Rfam family "Bacterial small subunit ribosomal RNA", at positions 524 to 776 of the family's 1533-position model. The record is from RNAcentral.
UACAGGGGGUGCAAACGUUGCUCGGAAUCAUUGGGCGUAAAGCGCACGUAGGCGGUUCGUUAUGUCGGAUGUGAAAGCCCUUGGCUUAACCGAGGAAGUGCAUCCGAAACUGGCGAGCUAGAGUACUAAAGAGGAUCGCGGAAUUCCCGGUGUAGAGGUGAAAUUCGUAGAUAUUCGGAAGAGCACCAGUGGCGAAGGCGGCUCACUGGACCGGUAUUGACGCUGAGGUGCGAAAGCGUGGGGAGCAAACAGG